AGAGAGUGCGAGCGUUAAUCGGAAUUACUGGGCGUAAAGCGCACGUAGGUGGGCAUUUAAGUCGGAUGUGAAAGCCCCGGGCUUAACCUGGGAACUGCAUUCGAUACUGGAUGCCUAGAGUAUGGUAGAGGGAAGUGGAAUUUCCGGUGUAGCGGUGAAAUGCGUAGAUAUCGGAAGGAACACCAGUGGCGAAGGCGACUUCCUGGACCAAUACUGACACUGAGGUGCGAAAGCGUGGGGAGCAAACAGGGAUUAGAGACCCUGGUAGUCCACGCCGUCAACGAUGAGAACCCAGACGUUGGGAAGUUUAACUUCUUAGUGUCGUAGCUAACGCGUUAAGUUCUCCGCCUGGGGGAGUACGGCCGCAAGGUUA
This 373-nucleotide ribosomal RNA is filed under the name uncultured organism. RNAcentral describes it as "partial 16S ribosomal RNA". It matches the Rfam family "Bacterial small subunit ribosomal RNA", at positions 527 to 896 of the family's 1533-position model. The record is from RNAcentral.